UACGGAGGGUGCAAGCGUUGUUCGGAAUUAUUGGGCGUAAAGCGCGUGUAGGCGGCUUGAUAAGUCUGGUGUGAAAGCCCGAGGCUUAACCUCGGAAGUGCACUGGAUACUAUCUAGCUAGAGGGUCGGAGAGGGAAGCGGAAUUCUUGGUGUAGGGGUGAAAUCCGUAGAUAUCAAGAGGAACACCGAUGGCGAAGGCAGCUUCCUGGCCGACAUCUGACGCUGAGACGCGAAAGCGUGGGUAGCAAACAGG
Molecule: ribosomal RNA, 253 nt
Filed under: uncultured bacterium
Lineage: Bacteria
Description: partial 16S ribosomal RNA
Rfam family: Bacterial small subunit ribosomal RNA
Source: RNAcentral